RNAcentral lists this ribosomal RNA (446 nucleotides) under uncultured bacterium. RNAcentral describes it as "partial 16S ribosomal RNA". It matches the Rfam family "Bacterial small subunit ribosomal RNA", at positions 338 to 795 of the family's 1533-position model. The record is from RNAcentral.
CCUACGGGUGGCAGCAGUCGAGAAUCAUUCACAAUGGAGGAAACCCUGAUGGUGCGACGCCGCGUGGGGGAAUGAAGGUCUUCGGAUUGUAAACCCCUGUCAUGUGGGAGCAAAUUAAAAAGAUAGUACCACAAGAGGAAGAGACGGCUAACUCUGUGCCGGCAGCCGCGGUACUACAGAGGUCUCAAGCGUUGUUCGGAGUCACUGGGCGUAAAGCGUGCGUAGGCGGUUUCGUAAGUCGUGUGUGAAAGGCGCGGGCUCAACCCGCGGACGGCACAUGAUACUGGGAGACUAGAGUAAUGGAGGGGUAACCGGAAUUCUCGGUGUAGCAGUGAAAUGCGUAGAUAUCGAGAGGAACACUCGUGGCGAAGGCGGGUCCCUGGACAUUAACUGACGCUGAGGCACGAAGGCCAGGGGAGCGAAAGGGAUUAGAUACCCGAGUAGUC